GCCAUUCAUAGCUUAGAACUCUUUCAUUUGCAAGCCUCUGGAAUUGCUAUCAUCGCUGGACUAAUUCACAACUUUUGGAAAAUCACAAGGGAAAAAAGUCAUUAACAAUGUUUGGAGUAGUGUUCCCAAAUCGAAGCUUCCCUAUGGAUAUCUCCACCUUUGCUCAAAUAGACCCCACCCAUUGGGUCCUUGACAUGAACACCUUUGUUGGGGAAGCGUAUGAUUCGAUUCGUGAAGUCUGCAUAUUCCUCCUCAACAACUUCACGCUGCCACCAGACAAGGCCCUCGCUGUGUAUAUCCAAUCCCCUGGCUCACCUUUCCUCUUUUGUGGUGCAGUCACACUGACUCGACCCUCUGCUGUGCUGUCGCUUCCUUGGCCAGAGCCCGGUGGGCAACUGCAGCUCACUGCUGAUGCAACUCCAAUCUCUGCCAAGAUAGGUAUUUCAGUUGAGGAUCUUGCAACACUUCCCUCCCUUGAUGUGGCUGCA
Molecule: unclassified non-coding RNA, 488 nt
Filed under: Hevea brasiliensis (rubber tree)
Lineage: Eukaryota; Viridiplantae; Streptophyta; Magnoliopsida; Malpighiales; Euphorbiaceae
Source: RNAcentral